Non-coding RNA from Pan troglodytes (chimpanzee), 45 nucleotides. Lineage: Eukaryota; Metazoa; Chordata; Mammalia; Primates; Hominidae. The record is from Rfam.
CCAAAGACUCUUUUAAGAGUCAUCAUGUUUCCUGAAAGGCGGUGG